Molecule: long non-coding RNA, 192 nt
Organism: Antechinus flavipes (yellow-footed antechinus)
Lineage: Eukaryota; Metazoa; Chordata; Mammalia; Dasyuromorphia; Dasyuridae
Exons: 2
Source: RefSeq, a predicted model, not a curated record
CAGAUGGGAAAACUAAAGCACAGUUCAUCCAGUCCAACCAGCUGUACACUCCUCCCCUAAAGAUUACAAAAGCCUGAGGACAAAGUCUACAUCUCAUUUCUUUCAUAAUCUCAAGAAAUCUGACAUAUUGUUCUGUACACAGUGAACACUCAAUAAAAUUCACAGCCUGGUUGAUGAGGCUUGGGCAGGGAA